AUUGAACGCUGGCGGCAGGCCUAACACAUGCAAGUCGAACGGUAACAGGAAGCAGCUUGCUUCUUUGCUGACGAGUGGCGGACGGGUGAGUAAUGUCUGGGAAACUGCCUGAUGGAGGGGGAUAACUACUGGAAACGGUAGCUAAUACCGCAUAACGUCGCAAGACCAAAGAGGGGGACCUUCGGGCCUCUUGCCAUCGGAUGUGCCCAGAUGGGAUUAGCUAGUAGGUGGGGUAACGGCUCACCUAGGCGACGAUCCCUAGCUGGUCUGAGAGGAUGACCAGCCACACUGGAACUGAGACACGGUCCAGACUCCUACGGGAGGCAGCAGUGGGGAAUAUUGCACAAUGGGCGCAAGCCUGAUGCAGCCAUGCCGCGUGUAUGAAGAAGGCCUUCGGGUUGUAAAGUACUUUCAGCGGGGAGGAAGGGAGUAAAGUUAAUACCUUUGCUCAUUGACGUU
This 459-nucleotide ribosomal RNA is filed under the name uncultured bacterium. RNAcentral's name for it is "bacterial SSU rRNA". It matches the Rfam family "Bacterial small subunit ribosomal RNA", at positions 30 to 476 of the family's 1533-position model. The record is from RNAcentral.